Molecule: ribosomal RNA, 273 nt
Filed under: uncultured bacterium
Lineage: Bacteria
Description: partial 16S ribosomal RNA
Rfam family: Bacterial small subunit ribosomal RNA
Source: RNAcentral
UACGGAGGGUGCAAGCGUUAAUCGGACUUACUGGGCGUAAAGCGCACGUAGGCGGUUCGAUCAGUCCGCUGUGAAAGCCCCGGGCUCAACCUGGGAGGGGCAGUGGAGACGGUCGGGCUGGAGUGUAGCAGAGGCCGGCGGAAUUCCCGGUGUAGCGGUGAAAUGCGUAGAGACCGGGAGGAACACCGAUGGCGAAGGCAGCCGGCUGGGUCGACACUGACGCUGAGGUGCGAAAGCGUGGGGAGCAAACAGGAUUAGAAACCCCAGUAGUCC